UACGGAGGGUCCAAGCGUUAUCCGGAUUUAUUGGGUUUAAAGGGUUCGUAGGCGGGAUAUUAAGUCAGUGGUGAAAGCCCACAGCUCAACUGUGGAACUGCCAUUGAUACUGAUAUUCUUGAGUUUAUUUGGAGUUAGCGGAAUAUGUCAUGUAGCGGUGAAAUGCUUAGAUAUGACAUAGAACACCGAUCGCGAAAGCAGCUAACUAAGAUAAUACUGACGCUGAGGAACGAAAGCGUGGGGAGCGAACAGG
RNAcentral lists this ribosomal RNA (253 nucleotides) under uncultured bacterium. RNAcentral describes it as "partial 16S ribosomal RNA". It matches the Rfam family "Bacterial small subunit ribosomal RNA", at positions 524 to 776 of the family's 1533-position model. The record is from RNAcentral.